UACGUAGGGUGCAAGCGUUAAUCGGAAUUACUGGGCGUACAGCGUGCGCAGGCGGUUUUGUAAGUCUGACGUGAAAGCCCCGGGCUCAACCUGGGAAUUGCGUUGGAGACUGCAAGGCUUGAAUCUGGCAGAGGGGGGUAGAAUUCCACGUGUAGCAGUGAAAUGCGUAGAGAUGUGGAGGAACACCGAUGGCGAAGGCAGCCCCCUGGGUCAAGAUUGACGCUCAUGCACGAAAGCGUGGGGAGCAAACAGG
Molecule: ribosomal RNA, 253 nt
Filed under: uncultured bacterium
Lineage: Bacteria
Description: partial 16S ribosomal RNA
Rfam family: Bacterial small subunit ribosomal RNA
Source: RNAcentral